GGAGGGUUGGGUCUUCCUGGAUGCCCUGAGGGAGAUUCCUUCACCCUGUCUCUGGUGUUGAGGCUUUGGGUCUUUACUUUCCUUGGCCUGGAGCUGGUCACUCCCACCCUGCCUCAUAUCCAGGGGCUUUUCUUUCUCCCUUCAGUUUUCCCCAUGCAGAGCAGGGCUGCCUCUUGCUCACAUGUUUGCUUUGCCAGGCCUCUGGGCCCUAUUUCUCUGUCCACAGCCCUCCUCCUUCCUCUUUCAGAGGCUGAGAACCCCAAAGCUUCCUCCAGAGACUGGAAAAAGUGUGGCCAGAUCCUGGCCACAAGGACAACAGCACUGGACAUGUCACACAAUACUAGUAACUGGGUAUGGUAGCUCACAUCAGCAAUCUCAACGCGUGGGAGACAGAGACAGGAAGAUUACAGCAAGUUCUAUGCCAGCCUGGGCUAUACGAAACUUGCCUGACUGAAUCCUCCCCUCCCUACCUGCUGGAGCAGGUCUGCGAUCUCCAUCAUUUCCUCACCAGUUGGUGGACGGACAUGCCUGUCAUGGACAGUUGUUUUUACCGAGAGAAAAAGGUAGCAAGAAAGAGCAUCUUGUCAGGCGACAGGGUUUCCCCCUGUUAGUGAAGGCUGCCCAUCUACCAAGUUCCUUGAGUCCCUGUGGAGUUCUAUCCCUGUUAAGACCUGGACAGGGAGGAUGAAGCGAGAUACCCUGUUCUCCCAGCCAAUUCCAUGCAGACCUGGGCUUUGCAUCUGUCUGUUGUGUGCACGUGCAAGUCACAGCCUCGUCACACUGUGUGACUGGAGACAGAGACGGGCCUCUUCCAGGACAAGCAGAUGACCAAGGGGCUUCAGUUAUAGGAAAGGAUGCCACGUAGGAUCGGGAAGGGCGGUGUGUGUCCUCUGUAGAACCCUUGCUUCUGGGGCAAGGUGCCCUGUAAGUCUGUGAUCUCUAUUGUGGCCUGGGGGGUGUCUGAGGAGGGCGGGGUCACAGGUGUGGGUGGUGGGCGAGGCAGGGUCUCUCUGUCGGCCCCCACCCCAUGUGGGGACAGGCCACCUGCUUCACGACAAGAGACAAGACGUUCACUUUUCUGCUUCCAAUUUCACACCUCAACCUUUGAACUUUGGACCUGUGGUUUAUUAAUAAUGUGAUUACCUGGUAGGAGGGAAAUGCCAAGACACUUAUCUUUCCCCUACGGGACAGCCCCACCCAACUGUCAGGCGUGUUCCCCUGGGCCUUGGUUCCUCCCCAGCACCCAC
Molecule: long non-coding RNA, 1247 nt
Filed under: Cricetulus griseus (Chinese hamster)
Lineage: Eukaryota; Metazoa; Chordata; Mammalia; Rodentia; Cricetidae
Description: lncRNA (ENSCGRG00015038067.1)
Source: RNAcentral